ACGUUUUUUUCAUAGAGAUUUAGAUUUAAGGUUAGAAGAAUUGUGGAAGUCGUGAGACUUCCCUUUUUUUUGCCUUAAGCCUCCUCUUUCUUUCAUAGAUUGAAGGGGGCUCAAAAAGUCCUUUCGUGAGAAAGGGCUUUUUU
RNAcentral lists this small RNA (143 nucleotides) under Bacteroides graminisolvens. RNAcentral's name for it is "Bacteroides sRNA BTnc231". It matches the Rfam family "Bacteroides sRNA BTnc231". Rfam says of the family: An uncharacterized small RNA discovered in Bacteroides thetaiotaomicron The record is from RNAcentral. RNAcentral also lists the same sequence under 1 other name. Lineage: Bacteria; Pseudomonadati; Bacteroidota; Bacteroidia; Bacteroidales; Bacteroidaceae.